UGACUUUCGCUUUCAACGAUUUAUGAGUCGUCCAUUGUUAUUUAUCUCAGCUUCAUCAAAAUAUAUGCUCAUACCAACUUGUUAAUCUAAGCUUUAGUUAUUCUACUAACUCAUGUUCACAGAAUAAUACCUUCUCUCUCUCAACUCUGAAUUCCAUAUUGAAAAGAGGAAGUUAACACCAUGGAGAUUGUGGCGGGAGCUUUUGCAGAGGCUUUGCUAGAGGAAGUGUUCGAGAAGAUGCUUUCGAAGGAAGUGCUUGAUUUCAUCCAGGGAAGGAAACUCACUGAGGGUUUGCUGAAGAAGUUGAAGAUCACUUUGUUGUCUGUGAAUGCUGUUCUUGAUGAUGCUGAGGAGAAGCAAAUAAGCAACCAAGAUGUGAAGCAAUGGCUCGAAGAGCUUAAGGAGGCAGUCUAUGAUGCUGAGGAUCUGUUGAACGAGAUUAAGACAGAAGCCUUGAGGUGCAAGGUGGAGGCUGAAUCUGGAAGCAGCACUAGUAAGAAGUUCCGAAAACUCUCCAAAAAGCUCUUCUCUGCAUGGUUUUAUGCCAUUGACAAAGCAAUUGACUCCAAGAUAGAAGAAAUCAUUGAGAGACUGGACUUCAUUGAAAAGAAAAAAGAUGUUCUUAAUUUGAAAGCAGGAGCAAGACGGAGAGCAUCACAAACAAUACCUUCAACUUCUUUGGUUGAGGACUUUACUCCAUAUGGAAGGGAUGAGGACAAAGAAACUAUCAUCAAAUUAUUAUUAGAUGAUGCUACUGAAAAUAAAAUAAGUGUGGUUCCCAUUGUGGGCAUGGGAGGGAUGGGCAAGACCACUCUUGCUCAGCUCGUAUACAACAACGUUAGAGUAAAGCAGCAUUUUGAACUCCAAGCGUGGGUUUGUGUUUCAGAAGAGUUUGAUGUUGUUAGAGUGACACAAACAAUUUAUGGCUCAAUCAUGUCACGAAGUUGUGAUCUCGUGGACCUAAAUAUGCUUCAGGUUAACCUCAAGGAAGCUUUGACAGGGAAGAAGUUUCUCUUUGUUCUCGAUGAUGUCUGGAAUGAGAAAUAUCUCGAUUGGGAUGUCUUGAGGCGUCCAUUUGAGUCCGGAGCUCAUGGAAGUAAAAUCAUUGUCACGACGCGCAAUGCAAGCGUUGCAUCUGUAAUGGGUACUCUUCGAACUCACCAUCUGAUGCAAAUAUCCGAAGAAGAUUGUUGGUUGUUAUUUGCAAGACAUGCCUUCAAAAGUAGAAGAGUUGGUGGAAAUCCAAAUCUUGAAGUGAUUGGAAGACAGAUUAUUAGAAAGUGUAAAGGCCUUCCUUUAGCUGCAAAAUCACUUGGAGGUCUCUUAAGCUCUGAAUCAAACAUAGAGGAAUGGGAAAAUAUACUGAAGAACGAUAUUUGGCAGUUGUCAGAUAAGGAUAGCAACAUUCUGCCGGCUUUAUGGUUGAGCUACCAUUAUCUGCCUCGGCAUCUUAAGCGUUGUUUUGCCUAUUGUUCGAUAUUUCCCAAAGAUUAUGUUUUCACAAAAUCGAAUCUGGUUUUUCUUUGGAUGGCUGAAGGUCUCUUACAAUCCAAAAACAAGAAAACAGUGGAAGAAGUUGGAGAGGACUACUUCGAUGAUUUACUCUCAAGGUCAUUUUUUCAACAUUCACAAGGCCAAUUUGAUCACCAACCAGUUUUCACUAUGCAUGACCUUAUCAAUGACUUAGCAAAGUUCGUAUGUGGAGAUUUUUGUGUGAGGUUGGAGGACAAUGACUCAUUGGACAUUCAGUGUAAGACUCGUCAUUUUUCGUAUAUGAAAACAUAUGGUGAUGGUUUUGAGAAAUUUGAGGCUUUAUAUGAGGCGAAGAAUUUGCGCACCUUCCUACCAUUAUCACUAAGGUGUCCAAUUGUCGCACAGUUUCAUAUGUCGGAAAAGAUACUGCAUGAUUUAAUUCCAACACUACAAUGUUUAAGAGUGCUAAAUUUAUCAGGCUACAACAUUAGGAAUUUGCCUAAUUCAAUUAGUAACCUGAAACAUCUAAAGCACUUGGACUUGUCUUACACUUUGAUAGGCAAGUUACCUGAUACAACAUGUACUUUGUACAAUUUGCAAACUUUGUUGUUGUCGUACUGUCGGGGCCUUGUUGAGUUGCCAACCAACUUGGAAAGACUAAUCAACUUGCGGCAUCUUGAUAUCAGAGGAACAAAAUUAGAAAAGAUGCCACCAAAGCUGGGCAAAUUGCAGGAUCUCCAAACAUUGAGUGACUUCGUGUUGGACCAAAAUACUGCAGGGUAUGAUGACAUUGUAGAGUUGAAGGAGCUUCAGUGUCUGCGUGGAACUCUUUGUAUUUCAGGGCUUCAUAACAUUGUCCAUGUCAGGGAUGCUUUGGAGGCCAAUAUGAAGGAGAAGAAGUAUCUAAAUCAACUUGUUUUGAAAUGGGGUGGCGAUACUGAGGAUUCGCAAAAAGAUAGAGAAGUCCUCGACAACCUCCAACCUCAUACGAACCUAAAAGAACUGACCAUUGUUUCUUAUGAGGGUACGAGAUUUCCAGGUUGGUUAGUCGAUCGUUCUUACUCAAAUCUAGUUUGUCUUCGACUUUUGAACUGUAAAAAUUGUUACUUCUUGCCACCUCUUGGGAUGCUGCCCUCUCUCAGAGAGCUUGAAAUUAUUGGGUUAAAUGGAGUCGUGUCCAUAGGUGCUGAGUUCUUUGGUGAUGAUGGCAGUGAAAUCCAGCAAUUUCGAUCUCUGCAAGUUUUGAUCUUCGAAAACAUGCGAGAUUGGCAAGAGUGGUCUUAUGUUGGAGGUAAUGAAGAAGGUGGAGCUUUUCCUAAUCUUUGUGAGCUUCGUCUGCGGAAUUGUCCUAAGCUAAGUGGGAGAUUACCUUUGGAUUACUUUCCAAAGCUUAAAAGGCUCGUGUUGUGUCGAACUAAUAUAGAAUGUCUCACUCUUUCACAAGAAUCUGAACGCAGCAAACUCCUAUGCCUCGAGUACCUGUAUAUAUAUUGCCCAAGUUUUGUUUGUUUUCCUGAUGGAGGGCUACAUGCACCAAACUUGACGAAUAUAAAUAUCUGUCGCUGCAAGAAAUUGAGGUCACUGCCAGAACAUAUACACACCCUUCUCCCAUCUCUUCAGUCUAUGGACAUAACAGAAUGUCCAGAACUGGAAUCAUUUCCAGACGGGGGAUUGCCAUCAGAGUUAAAAUCACUUCGGAUUGAGUCUUGCAGAAAACUGAUUGCAAAUCGUAUGCAAUGGGCUCUAGGAAGACUCACCUCUCUCCGAGACUUGAGAGUUGACUUCAAUGAAUGUGGAGAAGUAGAUUCAUUUCCAGAGGAGGGGCUUCUGCCAAAUACUCUCAGCUCUCUCUCCAUCUCCACUCUUUUGAGUCUUAAGACCAUGGAUGGAAAUGGGUUGACAAACCUCAUCUGUCUUGAAAAUUUGGCAAUUCGGAGAUGCCCUGAGCUCCAGAGCUUGCCAGAGGAAGGGCUGCCAACUUCUCUUUCACUUCUAGAAAUCUUUUAUUGUCCUUUGCUAAAACAACGAUGUCAGAGAGAAAAAGGUGAAGAUUGGCCCAAGAUUGCUCACAUCCGUCACAUAAUGAUCGAUGGAGAACAGAUAUGAUGUGCCAUGUCUUGAUCGAUCCCAGUGGCGUUAUCAGAUAUUUAUUUAGCUGAAGAACUGCAAAAAUCACAUGUAUGGCUAUAUCUAUACCAGUGCAGUGAUUAUAUCCCCUGCAUAAUCGAUUCAUUCUGAUAUAAUGUAGUACCAGAAAUCAAGUUUCUUAGUACAUCCAGAGUUUCUAAAAGGAUGUAGAGCAUGGUGCCAUCAAUUUGGGCACCAUGCAGAGAAGCCACUUCUCUGUAGAUUGCUGACGGAAUAUGGCAGUUUAAUCUGGACGUCUUCUGAAGAAAUUAGUUUGUAAAUUGUAAUAUUUCAGUUUUUCAUUGUAUUUAUAUUUAGUUACAAAUUCACCUUUUAAUGCGUUUUGUUUAUCAUCUGUCAUCUGUGCAUGCUUAGUUGGUACAUAUGUACACUCUGGUCCUUCCUGAUUUAAGCUCUCGUUACUCAGUGUGAAUUUUGGUGGUUCACUUCAGUUUGAAUUA
Molecule: non-coding RNA, 4061 nt
Organism: Prunus avium (sweet cherry)
Lineage: Eukaryota; Viridiplantae; Streptophyta; Magnoliopsida; Rosales; Rosaceae
Source: RefSeq, a predicted model, not a curated record